This 92-nucleotide transfer RNA is filed under the name Serratia proteamaculans. Its description in RNAcentral is "tRNA-Asp(gtc)". The record is from RNAcentral. Lineage: Bacteria; Pseudomonadati; Pseudomonadota; Gammaproteobacteria; Enterobacterales; Yersiniaceae.
GGGCGCUGCCGGGGCAAUUUGACGCCAUUUUCUGUCGCAACGUGAUGAUCUAUUUCGAUAAGGCGACACAGGAGCGCAUCCUGCGGCGCUUC